Molecule: ribosomal RNA, 253 nt
Filed under: uncultured bacterium
Lineage: Bacteria
Description: partial 16S ribosomal RNA
Rfam family: Bacterial small subunit ribosomal RNA
Source: RNAcentral
UACGGAGGAUCCAAGCGUUAUCCGGAAUCAUUGGGUUUAAAGGGUCCGUAGGCGGUUUAAUAAGUCAGUGGUGAAAGCCCAUCGCUCAACGGUGGAACGGUCAUUGAUACUGUUAAACUUGAAUUAUUAGGAAGUAACUAGAAUAUGUAGUGUAGCGGUGAAAUGCUUAGAGAUUACAUGGAAUACCAAUUGCGAAGGUAGGUUACUACUAAUGGAUUGACGCUGAUGGACGAAAGCGUGGGUAGCGAACAGG